AACGAACGCUGGCGGCAGGCCUAACACAUGCAAGUCGAGCGGAUGAGGGGUGCUUGCACCCCGAUUCAGCGGCGGACGGGUGAGUAAUGCCUAGGAAUCUGCCCGAUAGUGGGGGACAACGUUUCGAAAGGAACGCUAAUACCGCAUACGUCCUACGGGAGAAAGCGGGGGCUCUUCGGACCUCGCGCUAACAGAUGAGCCUAGGUCGGAUUAGCUAGUUGGUGGGGUAAUGGCUCACCAAGGCGACGAUCCGUAACUGGUCUGAGAGGAUGAUCAGUCACAAUGGAACUGAGACACGGUCCAGACUCCUACGGGAGGCAGCAGUGGGGAAUAUUGGACAAUGGGCGAAAGCCUGAUCCAGCCAUGCCGCGUGUGUGAAGAAGGUCUUCGGAUUGUAAAGCACUUUAAGUCGGGAGGAAGGGCUGUAGGUUAAUACCCUGCGGUUUUGACGUUACCGACAGAAUAAGCACCGGCUAACUUCGUGCCAGCCGCCGCCGUAA
Molecule: ribosomal RNA, 500 nt
Filed under: uncultured bacterium
Lineage: Bacteria
Description: partial 16S ribosomal RNA
Rfam family: Bacterial small subunit ribosomal RNA
Source: RNAcentral